GGGUGAAGAGGGGAGGCGGGUUACACGUGGAUUCCGGAUUGCGGGGGUCGUUGCUUGCCUACCAGGAGGCUGCCUAGAUAGUGCCCAGAGUAAAACCAUUGUCUGUAACACUUUCCUGCAGCACUGUGCAGGUCUGGCACCUUCAAGUCUCAUCUUAACCUUUCAAUCACUCAUUCAUUCUUUCAUUCAGCAAAUAUCCACUCAGUGCCUUCAAGGGUGCCCAACGUUCUCUAGUAAUUGGGGACACAGCAAUGAGCAAAACAGGAAAGGUUGCAGACACUAAAUUCUAGUGGAAGAGCUGACUCAAGAUACUUUCCAGAUAUGAGAAGUAAUAAUAUGAGGGAAUUACCCUCUAAGCUGAGGUCAGGAGGAGGAGUCAGGCAUUUGAUCAGUGGGAAGGAUUUUCCUGAUAAGAAUUAACAACAAAUGCAAAGGACAGGUCCUGCUCGUGUUCAAGUUUGUUGUAGUUAAAGGCGGGAAAGGUUCCGGGGGCUUGGAGGCUGGCAGGGCAAGGAGCUUGGACUUUAUUCUGAGAGAAACAGGAACGGUUGGACAAUUUUAAGCUCUAGUGACAGAAUCUAAUUUUUAUUUUAACAGGAUCCCUUGGACUGCAUGUGAAUGAAUACAGGGUGGAGCCUCGAAAGGGCCGACAUGGGCAGACCAGUGAGGAGGUUCCUGUAGUGAUCCAGAAACCACCUGAUGCAUUCGACUCCUGCAUGAAGUAUGCUCCUCUGAGAGGACGCACCCCACCGGAGACCCUUCACUCCUCCAACCUCACCAGCUCCCUGCCUUAGAACAGGAAAUAUCACCAUCGAGGCUUUGUCGGCACCUCCUGUUCACAGAACAGCUGGACACCGGCCCCCAAGACAUGACUCAGGAUGCUGGAGAUGUGAAAGAACCUGGCCCUGUCCUGGGAAAAUACUGAGUCCAGUCCAACCCCUUGAUUUAUGCACACCGCGGGUCCUCAGACAACAAACCGUAAGCCCCUUUUUACAGACAAGGACAUCGAGCCCAAGAGAGAUUAGUCACUUAGCCAGGGGAGCACCCAGCCAGCGUCCAGUGUGCCCAGAAGGUAGGAGUGAUGAGGCUGGAGACCUGUGCCCGACAGGUCCUCAGAGCAGGUGGCCUGGCCUUGAGUGGCCUCGGCAAGUCUCUCUCGGUGUCCCUCUGUGCAGUAUGCAGAGCCAGGUGGGGAAAGAUGGGAGCAGGAGACGGGGAUGGAGCCUCCCGGGGCUGAAGUCAAGGGUUUACAAGACGGGAGGAAUGACCUUUUGUUUUCCUCCCCAGAAUGGUACAGCAGAGGGGGAUGCUGCUGUUAUUUCUGGGGGUGCAGUUGCUGCUGGUGGGGGCAUUCCUCUACCAGAACCACCACGGCUGCAGCCUCACCUUCUUCCUGCAUUUUAACCAGUGACAUCUGCAAAACCCCUAUUUCCAAACAAGAUGACGUACUGAAGUUCCAGGUGGGUGUGAAUUUGUGGGGGGACGUGAUUUAACCCAGUACACCUGGGUAGCGGGGGUUUCUGGGAUGGGUCCCUGCCGGCGUGGCCCCACGUGGCAGGGGUGGUGCCCUACUGUGGGCAGGCCCAGCUCCUGCUCUCCCACCUGCACCCCUUCCUCCAGUGCCAGCAACUGCACUGUGCCGUCUACAUGGUGAGCCAGCUGCAGCAGGAAUGAGGAGGCCCAGGAGCAAGAGGGCAGAGGGGUCUGAGCCUGGCCUCGGAGAGCCGGGGCUGGAGUCUUCAGUGUCUGAGCUGAGAGUGUCUGCGCCUGAGAGUGUCCAGGGGGCAGGAUUGAUGCGUCAAGAAGAACUUGAACUGGGGGAGACCAGAACCAAGGGCUAUAUGUUUGGUCUAGACUGGCUUAGGCUGGGAUCCGCUUGAGUAGCUGACUAAGGGAAGGGCUCAUCCCACUGAGUCUGGGUCUCUGAGACCAAGGCUUGUUGGAUUGGGCAGCAACCCAAGGGGUAAAGUAAAGUGCUGGGUCUGAGGUCUGUGAGAUGCCUGUUUGAAUCUCGGCCUUGGCCAUUACUACUUGCGUGGUCUGAGGUUGGGACCAGUCUUCAUCUCUCCCAUCCAUCCAUCCAUUCAUUCAACGCACUGUUCCUCAGUAUGACUAUGUAUAGAUUUGGGGAAUCUGCGCUCAGUGCUACUGUUUUCUCAUUCAUGAGUCAAAGGUUCAUUGAGAUAAUGAGUGUAAAGCAAUGAGGCCAGUGCCUGGCACAUAGUAGGUGCUUAAUAAGUGACAGUGAUGGGUGGAGAGGGAGGUGGGAGGGGGGAUUGGGA
This is a long non-coding RNA of Cervus elaphus (red deer), 2282 nucleotides long. RefSeq lists it as uncharacterized. Lineage: Eukaryota; Metazoa; Chordata; Mammalia; Artiodactyla; Cervidae. The record is from RefSeq and is a predicted model, not a curated record. The transcript is spliced from 3 exons.